This 237-nucleotide long non-coding RNA is filed under the name Phoenix dactylifera (date palm). RNAcentral's name for it is "long non-coding RNA (PDAC_LNC008607)". The record is from RNAcentral. Lineage: Eukaryota; Viridiplantae; Streptophyta; Magnoliopsida; Arecales; Arecaceae.
AUAAAAUUUUUUUAUUUAAAUACAAUUUAGCACUGAUUUUAUCCUUAAGGUGUGUUUUCAAGUGAUUGAAACUUCAUUUGGUUUUUCACAACCUUCUUAUUUAUUUUCAUUUAUUUGUCAUUCAUUCCCCAAUUUUUUUUAAUUUCUUUCUUUAACCACUCAAUGAACAUUUUGAUUAUCUUCAUUUAUUUUUCGGUUUUACUUUUCUAUGCUCUAUAUUCUAUUUGCUCCCUAUCC